AAUGAACGUUGGCGGCGUGGAUUAGGCAUGCAAGUCGCGCGAGAAAUGUAGCAAUACAUGGAAAGCGGCGAAAGGGAGAGUAAUACAUAGGUACGUACCCUUGGGACUGGGAUAGCGGCGGGAAACUGCCGGUAAUACCAGAUGACGUCUCCGAACCAAAGGUGUGAAUCCGCCUGAGGAGCGGCCUAUGUCCUAUUAGCUUGUUGGCGAGGUAACGGCUCACCAAGGCAAAGAUGUGUAUGGGGUGUGAGAGCAUGCCCCCACUCACUGGGACUGAGACACUGCCCAGACACCUACGGGUGGCUGCAGUCGAGAAUCUUCGGCAAUGGACGCAAGUCUGACCGAGCGACGCCGCGUGCGGGAUGAAGGCCUUCGGGUUGUAAACCGCUGUCGUAGGGGAGGAAAUUCUGGUGGGUACUCCCAUCAGAUUGACUGAUCCUAGGAGGAAGGACCGGCUAAUCUCGUGCCAGCAGCCGCCGUAA
RNAcentral lists this ribosomal RNA (482 nucleotides) under uncultured bacterium. RNAcentral's name for it is "partial 16S ribosomal RNA". It matches the Rfam family "Bacterial small subunit ribosomal RNA", at positions 29 to 523 of the family's 1533-position model. The record is from RNAcentral.